This is a long non-coding RNA of Salmo trutta (river trout), 1555 nucleotides long. NCBI's taxonomy places the organism in Eukaryota, Metazoa, Chordata, Actinopteri, Salmoniformes, Salmonidae. The record is from Ensembl.
UGCGUGGCCUCUGACUGACCGGUGUAUGUCGCCCCCUGCUGUCUUGGCGACCUGCUAGCUAGACCACUAUGUGCUACAGGCCUAGCUCGUGUCUAGCUGCGGCCAAGGCCUCCAUGCUGGUAGUGCAGAGGUCCCAGGAGCCCAUCAGCGCCACCCUACAGGCUACCCAUCUUUACUGCACCCUGCAGCUGACCCUUAGUGGCCUACUGGACUGCUACACACACACCCUCACAGAUGAAUUUGUGCAGUCGGUCCAGAGCAUGGUUGGCCAGGUGUGUCAUGGGGAGUGGAGAUAGUGGCCACAGGGGUGGCAGGUCUCCUGCAAGGUUCAGAACAGGUUGGUGAGUGCGCCCCCGUGUGGCUGAGACAAAGCUGUACGGGGCUAUAUGACAGUGGCCGUCCCGCGGGUUUGUUUCUCUACCUGUGUCACGGGGCCCUGGCUAUGCUGAACUGGAGAAUCUUCUUUCUCAUGGUCUGAGAGCCCUUUAGGUGCCUUUUGGCAAAUUCCAAGUGGGCUGUCAUGUGCCUUUUACUGAGGAGUGGCUUCCGUCUGGCCACUCUACCAUAAAGGCCUGAUUGGUGGAGUGCUGCAGAGAUGGUUGUCCUUUUGGAAGGUUCUCCCAUGUCAACAGAGGCACUCUGGAGUUCUGUCAGAGUGACCAUCAGGUUCUUGGUCACCUCCCUGACCAAGUCCCCUCUCACCUGAUUGCUCAGUUUGGCCGGGCGCCAGCUCUAGGAAGAGCCUUGGUUGUUCCAAACUUCUUCCAUUUAAGAAUGAUGGUGGCCACUGUGUUCUUGGGGACCUUCAAUGUGGCAAAUGUUUUGGUACCUUUCCCAGAUCUGUGCCUCAACACAAUCCUGUCUCUGAGCUCUACGGACAAGUCCUUUGACCUCAUUUUUUUGUUUUUGCUCUGACAUGCACUGUCAACUGUGGGACCUUAUAUAGACAGGUGUGUGCCUUUCCAAAUCAUGUCCAAUUAAAUGAAUUUACCACAGGUGGACUCCAAUCAAGUUGUAGAAACAUCUAAAAGAUGAUCAAUGGAAACAGGAUGCACCUGAGCUCAAUUUCGAGUAGCAAAGGGUCUGAAUACUUAUGUACAUUUCUGUUUCUUAUUUUUUAUAAAUGUGAGAAAAAAAAAUGGCUUUGUCAUUAUGGGGUAUUGUGUGUAGAUUGAUGAAAUUUUUUUAUUUGAUCCAUUUUAGAAUAAAGCUGUAACGUAGCUAAAUGUGGAAAAGGGGAAGUGGUCUGAAUAUUUUCCAAAUGCACUGUAUACAAAAGUAUGUGGACACCCCUUCGAAUGAGUGGAUUCGGCUAUUUCAACCACACCCGUUGCUGACAGGUGUAUAUUAUCGAGCACACAGCCAUGUAAUCGCCAUAGACAAACAUUGGCAGUAGAAUGGCCUUACUGAAGAGCUCAGUGACUUUCAACAUAGCACCGUCAUAGGAUGCCACCUUUCCAACAAGCUACCCCGGUCAACUGUUAAGUGCUGUUAUUGUGAAGUGGAAACAUCUAGGAGCAACAAUGGCUCCGCUGGGAAGUGGUAGGCCACACAA